Molecule: long non-coding RNA, 8068 nt
Filed under: Triticum aestivum (bread wheat)
Lineage: Eukaryota; Viridiplantae; Streptophyta; Magnoliopsida; Poales; Poaceae
Description: long non-coding RNA (TAES_LNC013009)
Rfam family: MIR1120/MIR1122 microRNA precursor family (bases 1671-1775)
Source: RNAcentral
UUUUUUUUUUUUCUGGUGUGGGGAGGGGUCUUAUUUUUCAUGGAUGAGUUCUGGGCUUGACGAAGGUGGGUCUAACGUGACAGAGCCCAGGCCCAGUUCAAACGCGACUCAGUGCUGUACGUAAACGCUCACGGAAGGCGGAAAAAGCUCUCCCCUGUUCCCUCUCCGGUUCGCCCUAAACCCCUCCCCUCUCCUCCUCCGCGACCUCUCUCUCCAUGGCCGCCAAGAGGAAGCUCGGCAGGCCGCCGCCGGCGGCGGCUCCAGCGGCGCCGAAGGCCAAGGCCAAGGCAAAUGAAGACGACGGGGAGGGGCUCUUCUCCUCGCGCUCCUUCGCCGACCUCGGCCUCCACCCCACCCUCUGCGCCCACCUCCAAGGUCCCUCCCUCCCUCCCCCUCUCCAACUCCCCAUGUCUCCGUGGCUCGCUAGCCGCCUCCAUCUACCGUCGUCCAUGUGUUUUCUGCUUCCUGUUCGAGCUUCCCAUCGAAGCAGCGACUGAUCGAGGCAAUUAGUUAGCAGUACCCCAUCGAAUUAGUGCAGAAAGAAUGCAAAUUUCAUGGCUCUCCGUCCCAAGCUGGGACGAGUAUCCCAUCAAAUUCUUGGUUGCUGGGUCAAAUCUAGCGGAAGAACUCACAUGUUUCGGUGAGAUUUUGCAUAUUGGGACGCCGCGGUAGGGUGUAUGUCUCUGUAUCCUGCCGAGCACAGACACAGCCUGCAAGCAUAGGGAUGGGUUGUCAACACAUUCUGCAGAAACUAAUGUACUUCUUACUCCCUUCUGCUUUGCUGAUAGUUUACCGUUUUCGUUUCUCUGGUGUAGAUAAGAUGGGUUUCCAGGGGCCGACGCGGAUCCAGGCACAGGCGAUUCCCGUCGCCAUGUCAGGGCAGCACCUGUAUGCACCCAUCAGAACCUCAUUUUGCUCAUCUGCAUAAACUACAGUGCUGCUUCUGUAUUCAAAGGUUUCUUUGUUGUUUUCUGCGUCCGCCAACUGCAGGCUCGUGAAGGCGGCGACUGGCACCGGCAAGACGCUCGCGUACCUCGCGCCGAUCGUCCACCUCCUCCAGAUGAGGGAGCCUCGUGUCGAGAGAACUCAUGGAACUUUUGGUAAUGACUCGUUGCGCUCUGCUCUUGUUCCUUUUUUUUUGUUGCAUAUACGUGGUGGAUAUGCUCUGUUUAUCAUGGUAGUUUUUGGGGUCAUUAAAUUUGGUUGGUGGUUAUAUCUGCUGGAGUUCAGCUAUGUUACCAGUUUAUAUAUAUAAGGAAAAUUGCUGAUAUAGCUGAUUGAUAUGUCGGCUGAAACAUAACCGAAAGGUCCAAAAGAAACCAUAUCAUACAACUGUAUAAUUGAACUCUAUCAGUUGCUAUAUGAAGGGUCCCCGAUUAAACUCAUCUAUCAAAUUUCUAUGGAACUACAAAAUUGUAAAUCACUCUAGUAGUUGUCUCUUGAAGAACCCUCGAUAUUCUGAAUGAUGUUACUAAUUAUUUUACUGCAGCGUUGGUAAUUGUUCCAACGCGGGAGCUGUGCUUGCAGGUUUAUGGGAUCACGCAGCAGUUGGUGCAUCGUUUUCACUGGCUUGUCCCUGGGUAUGUGAUGGGUGGUGAGAGCAGAUCAAAAGAGAAAGCAAGACUGCGGAAAGGUAUAUUUUGUCCCGUCAAGGAGUUGAUGCAACUUCUCAUAUACUCCCUCCGUCCCAAAAUAAGUGUCUCAACUUUAGUACAACUUUGUACUAGAGUUAGUACAAAGUUGAGACACUUAUUUUGGGACGGAGGAAGUAAAAUGUUGCCUUUAUACAAUCUUGUAUUUUGACUCCAUGUAUUUUCUCUAGGAAUAUCAAUCCUAAUUGCCACUCCUGGGCGCCUUCUGGACCACUUACAGCAUACUUCAUCAUUUGUUUAUUCAAAUUUGCGCUGGAUAGUUUUCGAUGAAGCUGACAGGUCUGCUAGUCAUAAACUCAUCAUUUUCUUGACGAUUUUCCAUACAAGAUAUCUUAUCCAAUGGACACAACUCUUACUGCAAUGGUGUUUAUUUGUAUUCAUGCAGCAUUCUUGAGCUUGGUUUUGGAAAAGCAGUCGAGGAUAUACUAGGGCUCUUGGGUUCCAGGACCGAUGCUUCUGAUGAGAAUAAAAGCAAAACUGACCCUAUGCAAAGGCAAAACCUUCUCUUAUCAGCAACUCUCAACGAAAAGGUGAACCGCUUGGCCAACAUUAGUUUAAAGAACCCAGUCAUGAUUGGACUUGACGAACAAAAGAAGCCUUCUGAGAGGUCCCGUGCCCUAGGGAAGAAGCACACUUCCUUAUUAUCUGACGAUGAGGAGGACAUACCUGACAAGCACAAUAAUAUAGUGGAACCUGCAGUUGAUGAUUUUAAGCUUCCUGCACAAUUGGUUCAAAGAUAUGUUAAAGGUAGCGGAAAUUUGCUUGCUUGGAACUUUACAUGCUUGCCAUGUGUUGCUUUGGUACUUACUGCAAUGUUUUCUGUUUUAUGCAGUUUCAUGUGGUUCGAGGCUUGCGGUUCUCCUUACCAUUCUGAAAUCUCAAUUUGAAAGACAAGUGUCCCAGAAGGUAUUUUCUAUAUACCAUGAAGCUGUUUAACUUUCACUAGCCUUUUUUUUUCACCGCAAGUUUUGCUUGUCACACUGUACGCUCUGGAGGUCCUGAGAAUUGAGUUAGUUUCAUCUUUCUUCUGCAGGUUGUUGUUUUCAUGUCAACAUGUGACGCUGUAGAUUUCCACCACACUGUACUCAGCCAGCUUGAGUGGAGCCGUGGCCUCGCAUUAGACACAGAUAAGAAGCAAAAAUUUCUUGGCUGCAAAGUGUUCCGUCUACAUGGUAACAUGGACCAGGAAGACCGCAAAAAAUCAUACUUGGGAUUCAGUUCUGAAAAAUCUGCAAUCCUUGUAUGUACCGAUGUUGCUGCUAGAGGCCUGGACAUUCCCAAAGUUAGGUGCAUCAUACAGUAUGAUUCACCCGGGGAGGCUUCCGAAUAUGUUCACAGGUACCUUAAGCAUCUCAUGUCAUGCAUUUUUAGGUUAUACUGGUCUCAUAUUUUCUCCAUAAUUGUUGCCAGAUUCUUUGUUCAUAUGCAACUGAAUGAAGCAAACACACAGAGUUCUUUCUCUUCAUUACUGUCAAUCUUGUACACUGUUUAGCUCUUUCUUGUGAAAUGCUGUGGCGUUUUGUAGUUCUUUUAAGAAGAUUUGAUAUUAUAAGCUAAUAAAGACAGUUUACCUCAUACUUCGUCUGCACUAGCAUCUUCUUCUGGGUAUGCUUGAGUUUCAAUAACAUCAGUUGUUUGUUAUAGGGUUGGAAGAACUGCAAGGAUUGGUGAAAAGGGAGAGGCCCUCCUGUUUCUCCAACCUGUUGAACUCGACUACUUGAAAGACCUAGAGCUACACGGUGUAUCUCUGACUGAAUACCCCUUCCAAAAGGUUUUAGACGGUUUCCCUGUGAACGGAGAGAAGCCUCUCAAGAGGAAGCCAAUAUCUUUAGAUAUGCACCCAUGGAUACUCUCUGUACAGAGAACGCUGGAAAAUUACGUCGCAUCCGAGGUAACACAUUUUUUUCUCCUUCCUUCAGUUGACUCUUGCAUAGCUAGAAGAACAGCUCCGAUUGCUUCUUUAUUGUAAAAUAUCAUGCUUCUGCGGAUCUCAACAAAUGUGCUAUCAUGUACUCUUAUCCAGGCCACAACAAAUAAGCUUGCAAGGGAUGCCUUCUGUUCCUGGCUUCGCGCCUACACCGCCCACCGAGGGGAGCUGAAGAAGAUUUUCAUGGUGAAGAAGCUCCACCUGGGACAUGUCGCGAGAAGCUUCGGGUUGAAGGAGCAACCCUCGCUGGUCGGGAGGUCGCACCAGGUGCAACUCAAGAAGAGGAAGAAAGAACAGAAACGCGAAGGACAAGGACCGACCAAGCGGAGAAAAUUCCCCACCAAAAAGUGAAUUCCCAUAUGGUAAUAGAAGAUCGUCACACAGGAGACAGCACCUGAUGGAUGGUGGAUCAUGAAACUAACAGCAGCAGCGAUUUUUGCAAGAAACUCACGAGAGCUAGACAACUAAUUUACUGUGCAAUCACAGGAUUUUGUUACGUUUCCUUGGAUGUAAAAUGUUUGAUUAUCUUUGAUCAUAACUCUUGUUUGUCAACCUCAUGCUCGUCUGUUCGUCCGUUUGGAAGCAACUGCUCGCUCGAAAUCACGAAAUAACAAAAUCUCACGAUGAGCUUGAAAUCAUGAAAUAACAAAAUCUAAUGAUGAUCUACAUGUUAAAACAUUUUAUUGAAUCGACAUAAGAGAAUGAUAUCCAAUAGUUACAUGUCAAGCAUACUGAACAUGUUCUGCCAACAACUGGUAUGCUAAGAUGUUCUAUCAAAAUUACACUGGGAUUCAGAGACAACAUGACUGCCUGAACCGAUUCCAUACAAUGCUGUUCUAGGGCUCUUCAAUAAUCUACAGAGUUCUGGUGAAUUUUUUUCCGCCAAUCCGAUCCCAUAUCACGGUAUGUUCAACAAAGGAGCUUCUCAUCAAAAGUGAGCCAAACUGUACACAAGAAUCCAUGAAAGCUGCAACAAGAAACAACAAUCUUCUUGUCAGUUUGUAAGUAAACAUCAUCUGCUGAUUGAAUAUGCAUUGUCAAAGAAGUAAUGUGCUCCCUCUGUCCGGAAAUACUUGUCGAAGACCUAAAAUAUGUCUAGAUACAUCCAUUUCUCCGACAAGUACUUGCUAUGUGCCUUGUCCAAGAAAUGGAUAAAUCCUAAAAUAUGUCAGAUACAUCCAUUUCUCUGACAAGGACUUGCUAUGUGCUAUUACUACUUCAACCUUUUAUGUACUUGCUACUGCAGACUGGAUUUCAGAAUGAUUACAGAGAACAGCAACAUCAUGAUGGUAGAAAGAACCAAUAAAUGCAGUCUGGGUUUAGGAAACCAAAAUUGUUGAAUGAAAGGCUUUACCAGGAAAAGGGUGAAAGAUGCAAACAUCCCCUCCUGAAGCAGCGCGCCAUGGCCUCCAAAUUCUUCCUCGUCGACCUUCAAUAGGUGCGCAUAGUACCAGUAAAUUAUGCCAGAAGAAAUGGCCACGAACCUGUGAGAAAUCAGGCAGUAUAACCAUCAAAAGCUCACAAACAGGUAGCUAAAACAGGGCCCUAAUAACCAAAACACAUUCCAACAAAAAAUACAUCUCAACGGGCUCAUGGCAGCAACACUGGAUCUCAAUUUGUACGAAAGCCUUGCCCGCAUUCCAAAUUUGAAAACAGCUAAUUAUUACUCACAAUACCAGAAAUAACUGAAACGGCAAGAUCCUUACACCCCGGCCAGGGCAAAAAAAAAGGAGAACCCAGUUGAGGUACUACAAGAAACAUGUGUGCUGUGCUCAGGCCUUGCAAAUCCAGCAACUCCCUGAACAACAUUAUUCCUCCUAAAAUCCGUUCAACUCCAGCAGCACCCCGAAAUGGCACCCCCUAAAUAACAUUUGUAACAGCUAGUUCUCCAACGAAGGGGAACCUUGGCGCAGCGGUAAAGCUGUUGGAGUCACGGGUUCGAGUCCUGGAAACGGCCGCUUGCAAAAAUGUAGGGAAAGGCUACGUACCAAAGGGAGGAGGCUCCCCUGACGUGUGGGCCAGCAUGUAGGUUGGCAGGGUGCGGUACGUCAGGGGAGCCACCUCCGUACCAAAGACCACCCAAAGUGGUCGGACCCUGCACGAGCGGGAGCUACGUGCACCGGGCUGCCCUUUUUUUAGUUCUCCAACGGCUAGUUUCCAUGUCCAUAUACACAAGUUCAUCCCCCAUAUCUCUCUCUCUCACACACACUCCUGUCCUAGCUCUGUCUCCUCUUCCACAUCCCAUUCCCCAUCUCUCCGCAAUCUCCCGCAACGAAAUGAGCGGCCGCCGUCGCAGCUUGGCCUGGCAAUACUUCUUGGAUUCCUCGUCCCACGAAGAGGAGCUACUCUACAUGGCCGCAAUCAUAGCGCAAGAAGACCAAGAGCGGCUGGAUGCUCCACCACUCCAUGACAGUUCUAUGCCAGGAAGUCUCUGCUCCUCGGUCGCCGGCGCAUCCGCUACAACCUCCCGCGUCCGCCAGCCCACCGCAUCCACCACAUCCACUGCGGCCUCCCGCAACCGCCGCGUCCGCCGCCCCGCCUCUGCUUCCCGGUCACCGCCGCCUAGGCACCACGGAUCACCUGCGCGGACGGCGGUGACCACCUCUCCCGCUCCCCCAGGUCACCCUCUCUCGGUCACCGCUCUUCCGGCCGGCUUCGUCGCGCGGAACGGGGAGGGGCCGGAGGCGGAGCACGAGGUCGAGGAGAGCGGAUAGCCGGUGAGGCGAGAGGGGAGCUGCUGCCGGCACGACGGCUCCGCGGGCAAGAGAAGAGAAAAGAAAAAGCGGGGGGCAGGAGAUUCGGGGCGCUUACAGGACGAUCCAGGUGGCGCCGACGAGCGGGACGGCGCCCCAGAGAAGGCCGCAGGCGAGGCCCACCGCCUGGCGGAUCCAGUGCACGGCGUCCAGCAGCCGGUCCUUGUCCCACGGCGCCUCCGGGUCGAGGUACCGCGCGAGCCCGGACGGCGCCGCGUGCCCGGCCCCGCCGCCCUGCUGCGCCGCCUGGCUCUUCUUCGCCGCCGCCGACGACGGCUUCGCCCGCGCCAUGGUGGGUGGGGCGGCGGCGGGAUCGAGGUGUGGGGGGGAGACGGCGAUGGGAUCGAGGCGGAGGAAAAUAGUCGUCUUUCCCUCCUUGGACUGAAGAAGAAGAUCUCGUGCGUGUCUGGUUGGUGGUUGGGGUUUUGCGCGCAGGCCCUCGGAUAAUGCCGGUAUUUGCGCUCACGCCCCUAAAAAGUGAAAAAGGCAAAUCAUUGGCCCAUCAUGGGUGCACUCGAUUGGCAUUGUCCGGUCUAGAGCUAGAUUUUGCAAAACAAAACAAAAAUGGAAAAAUAAAAGCGGGAUUGCAAAAUCUCAGUCAACCGAGAGCUAACGGUGCUAUAUUCAUGAUACCUUACGUGGAGGCUCGUGCAAAAAUUUCUUUUAGUUUCGUUUCUUCCUCUCUUUUUUUAUAUGUUGUGUCACUCGACCGAGACUUGGUUAAAAUCUUAGCUGACCGAGAUCCAGCCACACCCAAAAGGAAACCUUGCUUUUGGAUAAUGGCCGUUUCAUUUCGCAUGAUUUUUUUUUAAAACGUUGGGAUAUAAAGAAACGCGUGAUUGAAGUAUCUUGGAUCUUGUAUGAUUUAGAAAACGACAUGAAUUUCAAACCAGAGAGUGCUUGAGAACACAGAAAACAAAAAGGUAAUUUUACCAAGAGGUCCAUGUCGAUGAAUUUUUUCCUCCAAACCCCUAGAGAUCCCGUCCUUACGAAUCAAACGAUCAACGCAUGAACAAGCCGCAAAUAAACGGCAAAAGACUGGCCACCAUUUUGGCAAAAGCAUAACACAAAAAUAUAUGGCAAAAAGAGCAUGGCACGAACACGAGUAGUAUGACAUUAGCCAUAAACAGAUGCAAAUUGAUGAAAUGGCCAUGAACUGAAAUACACCGAAGAUCUCGACCGUAACAUUGCACGGCACUACAUAGGCUCAACAAUAGAUCCUACAUUGCAGACACAGCAAGGAUGUCAACCGGGUCCCGUUUAAUCCCGUUUAAAGUCCACUUAUGAUAUGAUAAUUCAAAAAGGUUUUUUGUUUGUUUGAGGAAAAUGAACUAUCAAGCUAGCAAAAACUAACUAAACGGGAUUGCGGACGCCAUUUAUUUGCCACUUACAUCCCUAAGCAAAAUCACGCCCAGAAACUACAUCCACCUUCGGCACCAAGCCUCUCCGCGACAAAAACCAUGUCCAAAAUCACACCAACGCUUCGGAGGCCACACCAAACUCUGUUCUAAACGAUCGACAAACGAUUCCGCAGGCUUUCUGCGAGCCAAGCCAUCCUUGGAAGUUAAAGGGGACUAAAGAAAAGCAUUCUCUUUGGGGAGUUAAUGGGGGUUGAACAAUAGCCGAGUCUGCUGCCCAACGACGUUUACAGGGAAGAGCGGGAUAGCCAAAUUAUCGGUUAGGAAUUAGUUUGGCCAGGUCAGGGUACGCAUCAGCUGGCAACUCCCUCGUUCCCC